UGCAAGUCGAACGAACCUUCGGGUUAGUGGCGGACGGGUGAGUAACGCGUGAGAAUCUGCCCUCAGGAGGGGGAUAACGGCUGGAAACGGCCGCUAAUACCCCAUAUGCCGCGAGGUGAAAUGAAUUUCGCCUGAGGAUGAGCUCGCGUCUGAUUAGCUAGUUGGUGUAGGUAAAGGCUCACCAAGGCAUCGAUCAGUAGCUGGUCUGAGAGGAUGAUCAGCCACACUGGGACUGAGACACGGCCCAGACUCCUACGGGAGGCAGCAGUGGGGAAUUUUCCGCAAUGGGCGAAAGCCUGACGGAGCAACGCCGCGUGAGGGAUGAAGGCCUCUGGGCUGUAAACCUCUUUUAUCAAGGAAGAAGAUCUGACGGUACUUGAUGAAUAAGCCACGGCUAAUUCCGUGCCAGCAGCCGCGGUAAUACGGGAGUGGCAAGCGUUAUCCGGAAUUAUUGGGCGUAAAGCGUCCGCAGGCGGCCCAGAAAGUCUGCUGUUAAAACGUGGAGCUUAACUCCAUCAUGGCAGUGGAAACUACUGGGCUUGAGUGUGGUAGGGGCAGAGGGAAUUCCCGGUGUAGCGGUGAAAUGCGUAGAUAUCGGGAAGAACACCAGUGGCGAAGGCGCUCUGCUGGGCCAUCACUGACGCUCAUGGACGAAAGCCAGGGGAGCGAAAGGGAUUAGAUACCCCUGUAGUCCUGGCCGUAAACGAUGAACACUAGGUGUCGGGGGAAUCGACCCCCUCGGUGUCGUAGCCAACGCGUUAAGUGUUCCGCCUGGGGAGUACGCACGCAAGUGUGAAACUCAAAGGAAUUGACGGGGGCCCGCACAAGCGGUGGAGUAUGUGGUUUAAUUCGAUGCGACGCGAGAACCUUACCAGGGUUUGACAUCCUGCGAACCUCUUGAAACGAGAGGGUGCCUUCGGGAACGCAGUGACAGG
This 935-nucleotide ribosomal RNA is filed under the name uncultured bacterium. RNAcentral describes it as "bacterial SSU rRNA". It matches the Rfam family "Bacterial small subunit ribosomal RNA", at positions 56 to 1038 of the family's 1533-position model. The record is from RNAcentral.